UACUUGGAUGGGUGACCGCCUGGGAACA
RNAcentral lists this small RNA (28 nucleotides) under Bombyx mori (domestic silkworm). Its description in RNAcentral is "ovarian small RNA-3009". Lineage: Eukaryota; Metazoa; Arthropoda; Insecta; Lepidoptera; Bombycidae. The record is from RNAcentral.